RNAcentral lists this ribosomal RNA (305 nucleotides) under uncultured bacterium. RNAcentral describes it as "bacterial SSU rRNA". It matches the Rfam family "Bacterial small subunit ribosomal RNA", at positions 335 to 657 of the family's 1533-position model. The record is from RNAcentral.
UGCCUACGGGAGGCAGCAGUCGGGAAUAUUGCGCAAUGGAGGAAACUCUGACGCAGUGACGCCGCGUGCAGGAAGAAGGUUUUCGGAUUGUAAACUGCUUUAGACAGGGAAGAAAAAAGACAGUACCUGUAGAGGAAGCUCCGGCUAACUACGUGCCAGCAGCCGCGGUAAUACGUAGGGAGCGAGCGUUGUCCGGAAUUACUGGGUGUAAAGGGAGUGUAGGCGGGAUGGUAAGUUAGGUGUGAAAUGCGGAGGCUCAACCUCCGAGCUGCACUUAAAACUGCUGUUCUUGAGUGAAGUAGAGG